Non-coding RNA from Cololabis saira (Pacific saury), 363 nucleotides. The record is from the annotation of a RefSeq genome assembly. Lineage: Eukaryota; Metazoa; Chordata; Actinopteri; Beloniformes; Belonidae.
AUGGAUUACAAAACAGGGAUUUUUCUUUUGUAUAUCUGUUGUGCAGCUGUUGAUGGUCAGACUCUGACAGAAUCUGGACCAGUGGUGAAAAGACCUGGAGACUCUCACUUACUGACAUGUACAGGUUCUGGGUUCACGUUCAGCAGCCACUUGAUGGGCUGGGUCAGACAGGCUCCUGGUACCGGGCUGGAGUGGGUCGCCACGAUUGAUGUAACAAGCAAAUACUACAGACAGUCAGUUCAAGGCCGGUUCACCAUCUCCAGAGACAAUAACAGACAGCAGGUGUAUCUGCAGAUGAGCAGUCUGAAGACUGAAGACUCUGCUGUUUAUUACUGUGCUCGACACUCGGCCCACAGAGACUGA